CGGAGGAAAAGAAACCAACAGGGAUUGCCCCAGUAACGGCGAGUGAAGCGGCAACAGCUCAAAUUUGAAAUCUGGCCCUAGGCCCGAGUUGUAAUUUGCAGAGGAUGCUUUUGGCGCGGUGCCUUCCGAGUUCCCUGGAACGGGACGCCAUAGAGGGUGAGAGCCCCGUACGGUUGGACACCAAGUCUUUGUAAAGCUCCUUCGACGAGUCGAGUAGUUUGGGAAUGCUGCUCAAAAUGGGAGGUAUAUUUCUUCUAAAGCUAAAUAUUGGCCAGAGACCGAUAGCGCACAAGUAGAGUGAUCGAAAGAUGAAAAGCACUUUGAAAAGAGGGUUAAACAGCACGUGAAAUUGUUAAAAGGGAAGCGCUUGUGACCAGACUUGCGUCCGGUGAAUCACCCAGCUCUCGCGGCUGGGGCAUUUUGCCGGCUCAGGCCAGCAUCAGCUUGCCGUCGGGGACAAAAGCUUCGGGAACGUAGCUCUCUUCGGGGAGUGUUAUAGCCCGUUGCAUAAUACCCUUCGGUGGGCUGAGGUACGCGCUCCGCAAGGAUGCUGGCGUAAUGGUCAUCAGCGACCCGUCUUGAA
Molecule: ribosomal RNA, 583 nt
Filed under: Colletotrichum truncatum
Lineage: Eukaryota; Fungi; Ascomycota; Sordariomycetes; Glomerellales; Glomerellaceae
Description: eukaryotic LSU rRNA
Rfam family: Eukaryotic large subunit ribosomal RNA
Source: RNAcentral